ACGGGUGAGUAAUACAUCGGAACGUGUCCUGGAGUGGGGGAUAGCCCGGCGAAAGCCGGAUUAAUACCGCAUACGCUCUACGGAGGAAAGCGGGGGAUCUUCGGACCUCGCGCUCAAGGGGCGGCCGAUGGCGGAUUAGCUAGUUGGUAGGGUAAAGGCCUACCAAGGCGACGAUCCGUAGCUGGUCUGAGAGGACGACCAGCCACACUGGGACUGAGACACGGCCCAGACUCCUACGGGAGGCAGCAGUGGGGAAUUUUGGACAAUGGGGGCAACCCUGAUCCAGCAAUGCCGCGUGUGUGAAGAAGGCCUUCGGGUUGUAAAGCACUUUUGUCCGGAAAGAAAUCCUCUGGGUUAAUACCCCGGGGGGAUGACGGUACCGGAAGAAUAAGCACCGGCUAACUACGUGCCAGCAGCCGCGGUAAUACGUAGGGUGCGAGCGUUAAUCGGAAUUACUGGGCGUAAAGCGUGCGCAGGCGGUCCGCUAAGACCGAUGUGAAAUCCCCGGGCUUAACCUGGGAACUGCAUUGGUGACUGGCGGGCUAGAGUGUGGCAGAGGGGGGUAGAAUUCCACGUGUAGCAGUGAA
Molecule: ribosomal RNA, 587 nt
Filed under: uncultured bacterium
Lineage: Bacteria
Description: bacterial SSU rRNA
Rfam family: Bacterial small subunit ribosomal RNA
Source: RNAcentral